AGGGAAGAACCUGGCUGAGAUGCACCUGCAACUGUUUGGAGCUGGUGAACCUUGGGCUCAGCACACCCUCGCUGCUGGUGGACACAGUACCAGCUUGCCCCUCACGAGCAGCUGCGAGGCCCUCGGGCAGCGGCAUGGGCGCCGUCACUUCCUGCCAACCCCACAUCCUCAUUUCCCACGCUUCUCCUUCCACCUUCCAUGAUCACUGGGACCUACUGCAGGACCCGCCUCAGAGGGACAGGGGGAAGCAGACCACCCUUUUCUUCAGAGAGUUCAUGGCCCAGGGAGGGAACGCUGGCUGGGGACAAUCACAAAGCCUCUCUGGUGCCCAGCCAGCGACAGGGACCCUCGGGGCUGCGGGGGGAGAGGACGCCCCUGCCCUGGCUGCAGAGGGUUGGGUUAGAGGUGAGCUGGGGCCGGAGAAGCCACAGGAGCCAUGUGGCGCCUUCUCAGGAGGUGCUUCUGCAGCUUCGCCUCCUCUCAUCUUCCAUGUGCUGGGAAGGACCAGCCGAGUGACAGCUGGGAGCGAACCGGUCGCCUCCCCUCGGGCUCUGGGCAACUGUCAACCUGCAGCUUUGAGUCUCUCCCUCUGGAAUCUUCUCUCUGGGGUAUAGUAAUGUUAUUACAUACGUUGGUUAUUUACAGCACAACAUGAAAAGGCAAUUUGUAAGGACUGGUCCAUCUAAUCAGGGUGAAUCACCAGUCUUCUGAGCUAUCGUAUUGAGUUUAGUUUCCGACUGAUUGCUAAAUAUCUUCACAUUGCGUGGAUAUUGCCCAGCUCUGCCUCCCUUGCUGCAGGUGUCCCUGUGGAUGCUGAGCUUCCACAGAGGGGCUGCUGCCCCCUCUGCCCCCACAGCUCAGCCUUUCUCACCUGGUAUUCCAUCGAGAAGGGCACUGCAGUUUUACCUCCCUUUGAGAGGCAGGAUCUUCUCAACCCACAAGAAGAGGCGACCAGGUCCUGGGUGACUGUCGAAUAAGCCUGGUCCAACUGGGAACAAGUCUUCUGGGCCCUAAUUCCCCACAUGGUGUUCUUGUCUGACAAAAUCACAGCCUUCCACGUUCAAGAAUCUUCAUUCAUCUCUCUCUUUCAGCGAAUGUUCCCUAAGCUGUCCCAUCACUGAGCACUGCUGCCAACAGCCCAGCUGCGUGCUACCACUUUGGUCUGAUGGAGAGAAGGGCUCAGAACCUCGUGCAAGUGGGAGGCAAGCACAGGUACUAAGGCAUCUUCCGGAGCCAAGGCAGGGGCCGCAGAGGGUCUGUCUCAGUGAGAUCCCACUGUCUUCCAGGGUUUGCCACCGCAGCAGUAAGCCCCGGAGGGGCCCCACACCCUAAGAUCCACGGGGGAAAAGGUGGAUGUCUCAGCAUGGGUUUGUAACACUGUUCCCUUGAAUAAGCAGAGAAUGCAGAAUUAGGAGCAAGCAUUCCGAGGGGCGGCCAGCUGUGGCUUCCGAGGGGCACCUGACCUCCCAUCUGCCUUCUGAGCACCAGCUGCCCCAGGUGAGGUGCGGGGAGUUCCACAGCUGUGAUGAGCGUCGCCAUGGAGAGCAGUGGCUCACGAUUGCUUUGAUUUAAAUUGAAUUAAGGUGAAAAUGAAUCAGGGCAUAACUCUUUUCUUUCAGCCAGAUGUCUUUCUGAACCGGUGUAUAUAUGACUUUAAAAAGUCACGAGGGUUUUGGGCCCAGGGAUCAGGCAGGAAGGAAAGGCAGUGCGGUGCAAGGAGGGGUGUGUUAGAAAUUGUAUCCAGAACCGCUGUGGCUUGUACUGAAGGAAGAAACUUCGUAUUUCUGCUUCUAUUUCUACGACAACACCAAGGAAGGUAUGUGGGGUGGGGAGCAGGUGCACACAGGUCCUUGGUAUUACCAGUGGUCCAGGAUUGUAUAAUUCCGUUUAUUCUGCCUAUCCCACACCCUGACCCUGACUCAAGUCCUGCAGCCCCUUGGUGCCCUGAGCCCCCUCCCCUGCCUGUUCCUAAGCAAUCAAUCACCCUAAGACCCCGUUCUAGGUUUCAGCAGAUGAUGAUGAGUUAAUCAGACAAAUAAGCCAUGGGGUAGGCAGGGGUUGUGGGUGCUGCUUCCUGGUCCCUCUGGCAAACCAGAAGGGAGCUGCCUCCCCGCAGUCCUCACUCUGUCUCCAAGCUUCCCAGCAGAGCCCCACAUCCAGCAAUUGGGCCCAGCUUUAACCAGACGGAGGAGCAGCCUGACGUCCUGCCAGCCCCAGAGGCAGAUGUGGGCACAGGAAAGGGAGGCAGCGAGGAGAGGAAGCCAAUAAAAAGCUGUUAGCAUCCGUCUGGGUGACCCUUUGCAGAACCUGCGUCAGCCUGAGGACGCAGGGAGAGGCUGUGCAGAGAAGCCGCUGUUAGCAUCCGUCAGGGUGACCCUUUGCAGAACCUGCAUCAGCCUGAGGACGCAGGGAGAGGCUGUGCGGGAGAAGCCGCUGUUAGCAUCCGUCAGGGUGACCCUUUGCAGAACCUGCGUCAGCCUGAGGACGCAGGGACAGGCUGUGCGGAGAAGCCGCUGGCCUUUGCCGCUUGAAAGCUGGGUCCCUGCUGCCUCCCCACCCCAGGGCUCCCUCGGAGAAAUUCUCAUAGAACCCCUAAGCAAUGAGCCGGGAAAGCACGGAUGCCACCCGGAAACACGCGGAGGAAGAGUCCAUUCAUGGGAACUUCUAGAGCCGGUCACAGAGGCCAGAUCCACGAUCAGCUGCAUGGUAGGGGCUUGCCCGCAGGACCGGAACCUUGUGGAAGAUACGACAUUCAACACAGACGUACUGUGUGCCUCCUGCGCGUGAGGCCUGGUGCUCAUCGUGCGUGUCCUUGCAUGCAAACUUCUACUCUUCAUCUUGACAUUUCUAGACAUUCAGCUGUUCCUCAGGAAACCAUUUACCUUCCCUCUGCCUUUUCUAUAAAAUGCAUGGACCGAGGAAUUACUAACUGCAUAGCACUUUGUUUGCUGGAUACCAAGUAAACGCACUCUUACCAUAUACAGGGCUGUAUCUAGGUGGCCAGUUAUUAGAAUAAAAACAAAAUACUAUGUUCAUCCGCUCAGAU
This 3046-nucleotide long non-coding RNA is filed under the name Pongo abelii (Sumatran orangutan). RNAcentral describes it as "lincRNA". Lineage: Eukaryota; Metazoa; Chordata; Mammalia; Primates; Hominidae. The record is from RNAcentral.